GGAAGGGCCAUAGCUCAGAGUUAGAGCAUCUGCCUUGGGUACAGAAGGUUCCAGGUUUAAUUUCUGGCGUCUCCA
Non-coding RNA from Podarcis lilfordi (Lilford's wall lizard), 75 nucleotides. NCBI's taxonomy places the organism in Eukaryota, Metazoa, Chordata, Lepidosauria, Squamata, Lacertidae. The record is from the annotation of a GenBank genome assembly.